This 675-nucleotide ribosomal RNA is filed under the name Bacillus cereus. RNAcentral describes it as "bacterial SSU rRNA". It matches the Rfam family "Bacterial small subunit ribosomal RNA", at positions 820 to 1499 of the family's 1533-position model. Lineage: Bacteria; Bacillati; Bacillota; Bacilli; Caryophanales; Bacillaceae. The record is from RNAcentral.
GUGUUAGAGGGUUUCCGCCCUUUAGUGCUGAAGUUAACGCAUUAAGCACUCCGCCUGGGGAGUACGGCCGCAAGGCUGAAACUCAAAGGAAUUGACGGGGGCCCGCACAAGCGGUGGAGCAUGUGGUUAAUUCAAAGCAACGCGAAAAACCUUACCAGGUCUUGACAUCCUCUGAAAACCCUAAAGAUAGGGCUUCUCCUUCGGGAGCAGAGUGACAGGUGGUGCAUGGUUGUCGUCAGCUCGUGUCGUGAGAUUUGGGUUAAGUCCCGCAACGAGCGCAACCCUUGAUCUUAGUUGCCAUCAUUAAGUUGGGCACUCUAAGGUGACUGCCGGUGACAAACCGGAGGAAGGUGGGGAUGACGUCAAAUCAUCAUGCCCCUUUGACCUGGGCUACACACGUGCUACAAUGGACGGUACAAAGAGCUGCAAGACCGCGAGGUGGAGCUAAUCUCAUAAAACCGUUCUCAGUUCGGAUUGUAGGCUGCAACUCGCCUACAUGAAGCUGGAACGCUAGUAAUCGCGGAUCAGCAUGCCGCGGUGAAUACGUUCCCGGGCCUUGUACACACCGCCCGUCACACCACGAGAGUUUGUAACACCCGAAGUCGGUGGGGUAACCUUUUUGGAGCCAGCCGCCUAGGUGGGACAGAUGAUUGGGGUGAAGUCGUAAAAAGGUAA